RNAcentral lists this ribosomal RNA (472 nucleotides) under uncultured organism. RNAcentral describes it as "partial 16S ribosomal RNA". It matches the Rfam family "Bacterial small subunit ribosomal RNA", at positions 334 to 797 of the family's 1533-position model. The record is from RNAcentral.
CACUCCUACGGGAGGCAGCAGUGGGGAAUAUUGCACAAUGGGCGCAAGCCUGAUGCAGCCAUGCCGCGUGUAUGAAGAAGGCCUUCGGGUUGUAAAGUACUCUCAGCGGGGAGGAAGGCGAUAAGGUUAAUAACCUUGUUGAUUGACGUUACCCGCAGAAGAAGCACCGGCUAACUCCGUGCCAGCAGCCGCGGUAAUACGGAGGGUGCAAGCGUUAAUCGGAAUUACUGGGCGUAAAGCGCACGCAGGCGGUCUGUCAAGUCGGAUGUGAAAUCCCCGGGCUCAACCUGGGAACUGCAUUCGAAACUGGCAGGCUAGAGUCUUGUAGAGGGGGGUAGAAUUCCAGGUGUAGCGGUGAAAUGCGUAGAGAUCUGGAGGAAUACCGGUGGCGAAGGCGGCCCCCUGGACAAAGACUGACGCUCAGGUGCGAAAGCGUGGGGAGCAAACAGGAUUAGAUACCCGUGUAGUCCCA